This 256-nucleotide ribosomal RNA is filed under the name uncultured bacterium. RNAcentral describes it as "partial small subunit ribosomal RNA". It matches the Rfam family "Bacterial small subunit ribosomal RNA", at positions 26 to 285 of the family's 1533-position model. The record is from RNAcentral.
AGGACGAACGCUGGCGGCGUGCUUAACACAUGCAAGUCGAGCGGUGAUCCUCCCUCGGGAGGUGAUCAGCGGCGAACGGGUGAGUAACACGUGGGCAACCUGCCCCUCACACUGGGAUAACCUCGGGAAACCGGGCUAAUACCGGAUACGACCUCGAGCGGCAUCUCUUGAGGUGGAAAGCUCCGACGGUGAGGGAUGGGCCCGCGGCCUAUCAGCUUGUUGGUGGGGUAAUGGCCUACCAAGGCGACGACGGGUA